GAGUUGGUAGCUCAGUGCUAGAGUGCAUGUUUUGUAUGUAUGAAGUCCAGGGUUCAAUCCCAGCCUACCUG
Dallia pectoralis (Alaska blackfish) is the source of this 71-nucleotide non-coding RNA. NCBI's taxonomy places the organism in Eukaryota, Metazoa, Chordata, Actinopteri, Esociformes, Umbridae. The record is from the annotation of a GenBank genome assembly.